Molecule: long non-coding RNA, 1589 nt
Filed under: Pongo abelii (Sumatran orangutan)
Lineage: Eukaryota; Metazoa; Chordata; Mammalia; Primates; Hominidae
Description: lincRNA
Source: RNAcentral
CACAAUAAUUUAAACAGCUUUCUUAUUUCUUAACUUCUCUGGGUAUUUUGUGUGCUACUGUAUCUUGUGAAUGAAUCUCAAGAAGAAGGAUGAAGCUUUUCCAAAAUCACAUCCCUUCAUCUCAUUUUACAGAAAAAUUUGUGCCUAAUAUUAACCAAAGGAAAUGGGGAGCGGCAGGGCCAGUGGGUUUUCAUGGUGAACUCAAGGUUGCAUCUUGGCCAGGUUGCAUGUGGAAGGGACAGCAGGGUUCCCAAGGAAGCUUUGCGUGGUCAUGGGUAGAGCCAUCCCUUCUUCAUCCAUAGUGAAUGUGGCUGGAAAUAGCGGGUAGUCUUGGAUUUGACCUCCCUCCCAUGGAAGUGCUGUCUCCAGCUCGCUCCUGGAAAAACUGCUUUCUCCCCAAAGUGUGUCUGAGCAGCAGAUUUAAGCAUGAAGUUGGUUUUGUGGGGCUACAGUAUGGACUUUGGGAAGAUGGUGCCAUCUGUAUUUCUGAUUCUACCGUCCCUCUGUCUGUCUUUGGAAGUAUCCUUUCACUUGUUUGGGAGACUGAGAAUGAUUUUCUGCAAACAGUGAGCCAGACCAUGCUGGUCUCAAGCAGCAGAGCAGUUAUUAACAGAAUCACAGUCUUUCUGGAGCUGCUGUCAGUCCUGUGCUGUCCUCAGGGCCUUUGCUUGGUCAGGGGCCCCCCACUUCUUAUCUACCCUUCCCUCUACCUCACCGAGGUGGCUAGGCCCAGGUGUAUUGUGAUUAUUUGAUGUACCCGGGAGGCCAUGUCUCCCGGGGAGGCCCAGGACCUCAUUGGGCUGGAAUUCCACGGGGAUCUCUCAUUGGGUCUCUUUGGGCCUUUGGAGAGGGGAGUGCAGGGCACCACCUGGGCAAACACCUGUGCCAUCCUGUAAGUCCUUGUGUGACUCUUCAUCCAAGUCAAAAGGGGCAUGUAAGGGAAGAGCCUCAGGGCCCAUCAGGAGUCAGACCCUGACCAGGAAGUCAGAACUGAAUCAACUUUUCAAUAAACACACAGGCUGGCCCCAAACAAAGCAGCAGGCUUUUGGGAACAUCUGCCUUUUCAGUCUCUUCUGAAUUCUGUUUAUGUGGACACCCCAUGUCCCGCACCACCAUUGCCGCCAGUAAUGUUUGUUGCUUGUCAAUAUUUGAAUAGAUGCUGAUAAAUUUGAUUCUCUGGCUUAUUGUGGCAUUCAUGAUAUGUCUUUCCCUUUUCAGUUUCCAUGUACUAGAGCGACUGUCAGUGUGGCUGGCAGUGACCUGUGUUUUUCAUGCAUGUUUUUGUUUCAGAAUAACUGGGAGAUGAAACAGGAAGCUCUAUGACACACUUGAUCGAAUAUGACAGACACCGAAAAUCACGACUCAGCCCCCUCCAGCACCUCUACCUGUUGCCCGCCGAUCACAGCCAGAAUGCAGCUGAAAGAUUCCCUGGGGCCUGGUUCCAACCGCCCGCUGUGGACUCUGAGGCCUCUGCAUUUGCGGGUGGUCUGCCUGUGAUAUUUUGGUCAUGGUCUGGUCAGGUCGGUUUCCCAUUUGUCUGGCCAGUCUCUAUGUGUCUUAAUCCCUUGUCCUUCAUUAAAAGCAAAACU